RNAcentral lists this ribosomal RNA (2900 nucleotides) under Klebsiella pneumoniae. Its description in RNAcentral is "bacterial LSU rRNA". It matches the Rfam family "Bacterial large subunit ribosomal RNA". The record is from RNAcentral. Lineage: Bacteria; Pseudomonadati; Pseudomonadota; Gammaproteobacteria; Enterobacterales; Enterobacteriaceae.
UUAAGCGACUAAGCGUACACGGUGGAUGCCCUGGCAGUCAGAGGCGAUGAAGGACGUGCUAAUCUGCGAAAAGCGUCGGUAAGGUGAUAUGAACCGUUAUAACCGGCGAUGUCCGAAUGGGGAAACCCAGUGCAAUUCGUUGCACUAUCGUUAACUGAAUACAUAGGUUAACGAGGCGAACCGGGGGAACUGAAACAUCUAAGUACCCCGAGGAAAAGAAAUCAACCGAGAUUCCCCCAGUAGCGGCGAGCGAACGGGGAGCAGCCCAGAGUCUGAAUCAGCUUGUGUGUUAGUGGAACGGUCUGGAAAGUCCGACGGUACAGGGUGAUAGUCCCGUACACCAAAAUGCACAGGUUGUGAACUCGAAGAGUAGGGCGGGACACGUGGUAUCCUGUCUGAAUAUGGGGGGACCAUCCUCCAAGGCUAAAUACUCCUGACUGACCGAUAGUGAACCAGUACCGUGAGGGAAAGGCGAAAAGAACCCCGGCGAGGGGAGUGAAAAAGAACCUGAAACCGUGUACGUACAAGCAGUGGGAGCACCUUCGGGUGUGACUGCGUACCUUUUGUAUAAUGGGUCAGCGACUUAUAUUCUGUAGCAAGGUUAACCGUAUAGGGGAGCCGCAGGGAAACCGAGUCUUAACUGGGCGUUAAGUUGCAGGGUAUAGACCCGAAACCCGGUGAUCUAGCCAUGGGCAGGUUGAAGGUUGGGUAACACUAACUGGAGGACCGAACCGACUAAUGUUGAAAAAUUAGCGGAUGACUUGUGGCUGGGGGUGAAAGGCCAAUCAAACCGGGAGAUAGCUGGUUCUCCCCGAAAGCUAUUUAGGUAGCGCCUCGUGAAUUCAUCUUCGGGGGUAGAGCACUGUUUCGGCUAGGGGGUCAUCCCGACUUACCAACCCGAUGCAAACUACGAAUACCGAAGAAUGUUAUCACGGGAGACACACGGCGGGUGCUAACGUCCGUCGUGAAGAGGGAAACAACCCAGACCGCCAGCUAAGGUCCCAAAGUCAUGGUUAAGUGGGAAACGAUGUGGGAAGGCACAGACAGCCAGGAUGUUGGCUUAGAAGCAGCCAUCAUUUAAAGAAAGCGUAAUAGCUCACUGGUCGAGUCGGCCUGCGCGGAAGAUGUAACGGGGCUAAACCAUGCACCGAAGCUGCGGCAGCGACACUAUGUGUUGUUGGGUAGGGGAGCGUUCUGUAAGCCUGCGAAGGUGACCUGUGAGGGUUGCUGGAGGUAUCAGAAGUGCGAAUGCUGACAUAAGUAACGAUAAAGCGGGUGAAAAGCCCGCUCGCCGGAAGACCAAGGGUUCCUGUCCAACGUUAAUCGGGGCAGGGUGAGUCGACCCCUAAGGCGAGGCCGAAAGGCGUAGUCGAUGGGAAACAGGUUAAUAUUCCUGUACUUGGUGUUACUGCGAAGGGGGGACGGAGAAGGCUAUGUUAGCCGGGCGACGGUUGUCCCGGUUUAAGCAUGUAGGCUGAUUGUCCAGGCAAAUCCGGAUAAUCAAGGCUGAGGUGUGAUGACGAGGCACUACGGUGCUGAAGUAACAAAUGCCCUGCUUCCAGGAAAAGCCUCUAAGCAUCAGGUAACAUUAAAUCGUACCCCAAACCGACACAGGUGGUCAGGUAGAGAAUACCAAGGCGCUUGAGAGAACUCGGGUGAAGGAACUAGGCAAAAUGGUGCCGUAACUUCGGGAGAAGGCACGCUGGUGUGUAGGUGAAGUCCCUGCGGAUGGAGCUGAGACCAGUCGAAGAUACCAGCUGGCUGCAACUGUUUAUUAAAAACACAGCACUGUGCAAACACGAAAGUGGACGUAUACGGUGUGACGCCUGCCCGGUGCCGGAAGGUUAAUUGAUGGGGUUAUCCGUAAGGAGAAGCUCUUGAUCGAAGCCCCGGUAAACGGCGGCCGUAACUAUAACGGUCCUAAGGUAGCGAAAUUCCUUGUCGGGUAAGUUCCGACCUGCACGAAUGGCGUAAUGAUGGCCAGGCUGUCUCCACCCGAGACUCAGUGAAAUUGAACUCGCUGUGAAGAUGCAGUGUACCCGCGGCAAGACGGAAAGACCCCGUGAACCUUUACUAUAGCUUGACACUGAACAUUGAGCCUUGAUGUGUAGGAUAGGUGGGAGGCUUUGAAGCGUGGACGCCAGUCUGCGUGGAGCCAACCUUGAAAUACCACCCUUUAAUGUUUGAUGUUCUAACGUUGGCCCCUGACCGGGGUUGCGGACAGUGUCUGGUGGGUAGUUUGACUGGGGCGGUCUCCUCCCAAAGCGUAACGGAGGAGCACGAAGGUUAGCUAAUCCUGGUCGGACAUCAGGAGGUUAGUGCAAUGGCAUAAGCUAGCUUGACUGCGAGCGUGACGGCGCGAGCAGGUGCGAAAGCAGGUCAUAGUGAUCCGGUGGUUCUGAAUGGAAGGGCCAUCGCUCAACGGAUAAAAGGUACUCCGGGGAUAACAGGCUGAUACCGCCCAAGAGUUCAUAUCGACGGCGGUGUUUGGCACCUCGAUGUCGGCUCAUCACAUCCUGGGGCUGAAGUAGGUCCCAAGGGUAUGGCUGUUCGCCAUUUAAAGUGGUACGCGAGCUGGGUUUAGAACGUCGUGAGACAGUUCGGUCCCUAUCUGCCGUGGGCGCUGGAGAAUUGAGGGGGGCUGCUCCUAGUACGAGAGGACCGGAGUGGACGCAUCACUGGUGUUCGGGUUGUCAUGCCAAUGGCACUGCCCGGUAGCUAAAUGCGGAAGAGAUAAGUGCUGAAAGCAUCUAAGCACGAAACUUGCCCCGAGAUGAGUUCUCCCUGAGACUUUAAGUCUCCUGAAGGAACGUUAAAGACGAUGACGUUGAUAGGCCGGGUGUGUAAGCGCAGCGAUGCGUUGAGCUAACCGGUACUAAUGAACCGUGAGGCUUAACCUU